UCGUGCUAGGUGGGGAGCUGGCGGUGCCCUGUAACCGGAAAUCCGCUUUACGCCGGGCUGAAUCCCCACUUGAGGUUCGUACGUCACUUGGUCAGGCUGGCGCUGCGCGGCGUUGAUGGGCUGGUCCUGCGCGGCGGCGACCCGCGAACCCCGUCAGGUCGGGAACGAAGCAGCGGUAAGUGGUGCUCGCCGGGUGCCGCAGGGGUGCCGGGCCGGAGCAAGCGAGCGCUGGGUCGCAGGUGGCGGCGGAUCGAGAGUGGGUGCACGA
RNAcentral lists this signal recognition particle RNA (268 nucleotides) under Chloroflexota bacterium. Its description in RNAcentral is "signal recognition particle sRNA large type". It matches the Rfam family "Bacterial large signal recognition particle RNA". From Rfam's summary of the family: The signal recognition particle (SRP) is a universally conserved ribonucleoprotein involved in the co-translational targeting of proteins to membranes. Archaeal SRP consists of a 7S RNA and homologues of the eukaryotic SRP19 and SRP54 proteins. The record is from RNAcentral. Lineage: Bacteria; Bacillati; Chloroflexota.